This 460-nucleotide ribosomal RNA is filed under the name uncultured bacterium. RNAcentral's name for it is "partial 16S ribosomal RNA". It matches the Rfam family "Bacterial small subunit ribosomal RNA", at positions 338 to 795 of the family's 1533-position model. The record is from RNAcentral.
CCUACGGGCGGCAGCAGUGAGGAAUAUUGGUCAAUGGGCGCGAGCCUGAACCAGCCAAGUCGCGUGAGGGAGGACGGCCCUACGGGUUGUAAACCUCUUUUGCCGGGGAGCAACGGGCCCCACGUGUGGCGUCACUGAGAGUACCCGGAGAAAAAGCAUCGGCUAACUCCGUGCCAGCAGCCGCGGUAAUACGGAGGAUGCGAGCGUUAUCCGGAUUUAUUGGGUUAAAAGGGUGCGUAGGCGGAUCGUUAAGUCAGUGGUCAAAUUGAGGGGCCAAACCCCUUCUCGCCAUUGAAACUGGCGUUCUUGAGUGGAAGAGAAGUAGGCGGAAUGCGUGGUGUAGCGGUGAAAUGCAUAGAUAUCACGCAGAACCCCGAUUGCGAAGGCAGCUUACUAAACUGCCACUGACAUUGAUGCUCGAAAGUGUGGGUAUCAAACAGGAUUAGAUACCCCAGUAGUC